CGCGUAGGCGGCCUUGUAAGUCCGACAUGAAAUGUACCGGUUCAACCGGGGCACUGUGUCGGAAACUGCUCGGCUAGAGGUCGAGGGAGGAAAGUGGAAUUCCUGGUGUAGCGGUGAAAUGCGUAGAUAUCAGGAGGAACACCCGUGGCGAAGGCGGCUUUCUAUCUCGAAACUGACGCUGAGGCGCGAAAGCUAGGGGAAGGCAAACG
Molecule: ribosomal RNA, 209 nt
Filed under: uncultured bacterium
Lineage: Bacteria
Description: partial 16S ribosomal RNA
Rfam family: Bacterial small subunit ribosomal RNA
Source: RNAcentral